This 111-nucleotide ribosomal RNA is filed under the name Saiga tatarica. RNAcentral's name for it is "partial small subunit ribosomal RNA". The record is from RNAcentral. Lineage: Eukaryota; Metazoa; Chordata; Mammalia; Artiodactyla; Bovidae.
CCACUAUGCUUAGCCCUAAACACAAAUAAUUGCAUAAACAAAAUUAUUCGCCAGAGUACUACCGGCAACAGCCUAAAACUCAAAGGACUUGGCGGUGCUUUAUACCCUUCU